This is a long non-coding RNA of Homo sapiens (human), 1548 nucleotides long. RefSeq lists it as uncharacterized. The transcript is spliced from 2 exons. Lineage: Eukaryota; Metazoa; Chordata; Mammalia; Primates; Hominidae. The record is from RefSeq and is a predicted model, not a curated record.
GCUCAAGUAAUCCUCCCACUUCAGCCUAUUGAGUAACUGGGACCACAGGUGCACACCAUCAUGCCAGGAGAAACAAAUGCCAAACAGUGAAGGUCAAGAAGGCCAUAGUGAUAUAUGCAAGUUCAAAAAGUGGAAGAAGCUUUUACACAGAGAAAUAUCAAUCAGCCAGCUUUUCAUGGCUGAUGCCUGAAAAUAUCAUCCACCUGUGUCUCUGAGCAUACUUUGGCUUUGACUCCUAGUGAUAUUACAUGUAAUGUCAUGGCUAGAUAUUUCAAUUUCAGAAACAAAUGAUUCCACUGAAUAGUAAGACAUUUGCCAACUGGACAAUAAUUCAUAAGGAGAGGGUUCAGAAACUGUAAGUUUUAUUAUGAAAAGGUAAGGAAAUCCAACCCUAGAUGGAGGUAACUUGGAAAGAAUGAUUGGUUAUUUUGUAUAACUCUAAAGGGCAUAACUAGGACUAACAAGUCAAAGCUUUCAGGAAGAAAAUUUCUAUAUAAUGUGCAGAAAUUUCAAACAGUUGAUCAGUUGCUUUUGUUAUUAUUGUUAGAGACAGGAUCUCACUAUGUUGCCCAGGCUUGAUUCUAACCUCCCCCACUGCCAACCCCCCGGCUCAAGCAAUCCUACUGCCUUAGCCUCUUGAGUAGCUGGGACUACGGGCACACACACACACACCACUGCACCAGGUAAAUUUCUAACAACUCAAAGUGUUAUAAAGGAAUAGGUCGCCUAGUAGCAUGGUCAGCGGUGUCUGUAAGACUUCUCGUCAGUCAGGCUGCGGUAUGGGAUUGAAGUGGAAGAUCACUAAGAAAUGGAGGGAAUGAAUUUCAGAAUGGGUGGGGGGUUUCAGGGUGUUGGGUCAAUAGCUGUCUUAUCAAUGGAGCUGAGAAUGAAAACCUAGGAAAAGUGACACUGGCUCUAGAAGGGAACUGGGCCAUCUGCCUUAUAGACCAUCUGCUAAUUUGUUGCUCAUUUAUUGGUGAAACUUGGGAAGGUAAUGGAUAUGUAUGAGCUCUCUCAGAACUUGCCUUGUUGCCUAAUGGAUAUCUUUGACUUUUCCAACUCCAAGUAUCUGUAAAAGUUCCUAAUUUCCUCAUAGACUUGUAAAACCACUCAAACCCACCAGGCCCUUAUUCUGUUUCCAAGAUCACCUUUCAGGUGUCACCGUGUUGACAAGUUAUUUGGAGCUCUAUUGACCUUGUCUCAUUAUUGGAACUUUUCUAAUAUCUUGAAUGCAGAUGGAAGGAAAGGAGACAAUAACAACAAAAAAUAAAACUGCAACAGCAUGAUUUAUUAUAGUAUAUAUUUCUCAGAAGAGACAAAAACAGCAUCAAUGAAGAGCAAUCAUAGAAGGUUCACAGUUGCCUCAGAACCAAUUCAACAAUUCAUAGGGGGUUGGCAUCACAUAAACAGCUGGGAAAAAGCAGUUAAAUGAUUUUCUACAUGCUCUUAGGGAGAGACUGUGUCUAAUCUGAUGCAGUUGCUCCAAAGGAGCGCAGCUAAUGACAUCUACACCAAAUAUCAGUUCAAUAAAUUGCUUCCUUUCAUUAA